RNAcentral lists this long non-coding RNA (658 nucleotides) under Sarcophilus harrisii (Tasmanian devil). Its description in RNAcentral is "lncRNA (ENSSHAG00000026906.1)". Lineage: Eukaryota; Metazoa; Chordata; Mammalia; Dasyuromorphia; Dasyuridae. The record is from RNAcentral.
CAAGUUGAAAACGUAUUUAAGACAUUAUUUUUUUGUCAAGCAUUGUGCUAAGUACUAGGGAUAGAGAUAUAAGAAAAAAAGCCGCUUGGGGCUCUCAAGGAACUUGCCUGCUAAAAGGGAUAGAGAAUAGAUAUUGGUGGGUGAUAUUUUGCUGUGAGAAGUCACAGGGAAGGAUGUUCCUCUUCCAACAGCGAAUUCUGCAGGUUCAAUCCAGACCUUCAAGAACCACAGCUUCUUGGGCCCUGCUACCCUCUGACUAUAAUCCUGCCCGUGAAAGAAGUCUUCGGGGGGUGAUGCACCUGUUUUGCUGCUGAUAUUGGCAAUGACAGAGCUAUCAUUACGAGCUUCACUGUGUAGGAGCUGAGACUAACAAGGAGCUAGUCUUGUUUCAAAGUCACACUUUGUACUCGGCUGUCUCACUCAAGCAUGAAGAAUGAUUCAUGAACAGGGAAUCGGCUGGAAAGGAUCACUGACUCCAGAACUGGCACAACGGUCCUGGGAUCAUCAAAGACAGUGUUCCAACUCUUCUGCUAUGUUGUGGAGAGAUUUCUGACCCAAAUAUCUUAGAGUUGUCUGCCAAAGGGCCUCAGUGCCAUGAUAAAUAAAGAGGUAGAAGGCCCGAGUCUGAUUCUGAAACUGAAUCAAAUACAAAUACAAC